This is a non-coding RNA of Paramuricea clavata, 2296 nucleotides long. Lineage: Eukaryota; Metazoa; Cnidaria; Anthozoa; Malacalcyonacea; Plexauridae. The record is from the annotation of a GenBank genome assembly.
AAAUUUUUAUUGGCUGGUUGUGGUUAAUAAUUGUUUGGUAAUUAAAAUUAAUUUGUUAGUUUUCUAUGUUACAUGUAUUUGUUUUGCUUCAGUUCAGCAUUGUUUUCAAAUAGUUCCACUUUGUAAUGGUGUGUUAUAAUAGUCGUAAUAAUGAUAUAAGCAAACAGGUUUACAUGGCACUCGAAUGUGUACUGGUCUUUUCAACGAGUAUGUAAAGGUAAGUUUAUACUUCAAAAAGGUCUGUUUUUAACCUGACAAGCAUGCUGUCCAAAGUGAACUAAAACUCAAUCUUCGUGACCUUUCAAUGAAAUUUCAUAUGUUCAAACGACAACUGCUACUACUGUAUAUAUCUUUUGAUGUUUGUGUUUGGCUUACUGUUGAUACUAUAUAGAAUUAAGAUUCUAAGAUUAAGGAUUGUGUGGAAACUGUUUGUUCCUUGUGAGGACUUUGCGCAAAACUGUUUGUUUACUCUUGAGUUAGCAAAAUAUACCCUAAACUUAUUUCGUGUUUUUCAUUAUGCAAAACAAUAGAUCAGCUUUUUUCCAAAUGAAACGUUUGGUUUUGACCAAUUCAAAUAAAAGUGUAAAAAAUAAAAAAAUAUUUUAUGAACAAUUGAAAGUUUGGUCAACCCUAUUUUGUGUGUUUCUGUACAUGGUCGCUACAUGUUUUCCAUCAAAAAUAUUUCCUGAAGUGUUUUUUCAUAAGUGAAAUUUAGGAGAUGUUUGUUUUUAAAAUAAUGGAUCAAUGUCUAUCAUUUUAAUGUAUUUAUCAGGGAUGAGAAAUGUACCAUUUUCCUAAGCAAAGCAAAUUGAAAGUGAAUAUUUGGUCGAAAAGAUCAAUCAGAAAUGGAGAAAUAACAUUCUUUUUAAUUUGUUGAACUGCAUUUUCAUCACUUGAAUUAGUAUGAACAUUAUAUACAAACAAUUCAAAGUUGUCAGGUUAAAAACUAGAUAUAUGGCUCCGAAAGAUCGCGGAAUAAUUUCAAAUUCUUAAAUAUUUCUUGAUUUGGCACUUGAAAGAAAUAUUCUUAUAAAUGUUCAAUUGAGUAUGGAACCAAUGAUCUAGUCGUAAUGUUUCGAUGUUAAAAAUUUCAUUUCCGAGUUUAAUGAAGUAUGCUGUCAAUGCAUUGUCAAAAUGUUAAAUAAUUUGCUUCAAGCAAUGCCAAUGGAAUAUUUGUUGUCAAGCACAAUUUCAUGCCAACCACUUGACAACUGAUAUUGCAUUACAACGAAUGGAUUUCACUUAGCAUCUAAACAUCACGAUAAAAUCAUUAUUUUCCAUACUCAAGCGAAUAUUUUGGUCUGUUCAGUGUUCACCAAAAACAGUUAGUUUGUGUUAAAAAAAGCAUGUUCGACUUUUGUCUUUGAGCCAUAUAUUUUCUUUGUAAAACAACUUGGUGUUACGCUUUUGAUUUCUCAAUGUAAAGUUUAUCAUUGGAGUUGUUUUACAAUAUUUAUUUUGAAGUAUAAACAUUAAUCUUGAAAAGACCAGGUUCUCUUGUUUCCUCAAGAAUUAACUUUUUUAAUGUUAAUUCGCGGGCAAACAAGUUUUUUUAAUGUUGUGUUUUCACUUGUACUUAUUCACUUGUGUUUAACACAAUGUUAAUUGUUCUCUUUGUGCCAUGUUCUGUUUUCUUCUAUUGUUAUUAUUUAAAUAAGUAUGCAGUGGUUGUUCUCUUUUUAUUGGUAUUCAAUUUGUAAUUACAAUUCUUUUCAAUAAAUUGUCAUUAAUUAUACAAGAGACUCCUUUUUAAUUAAAAAUUCAAUUCCCAUGGGAAUUGAAAAAAAAAAUGAAAAAAAUUCUCCUUCCCCGGCCGGCUCCCCAAGUGCUACCUCCACUUCAAGCAGAAGUACUUCUACUAUAUACUGAGAAGUACUUCUACUUAAAGUAGAGGUAGCACUCGGAGAGCCAGCCGGGGUAGCGGGGCGAAGAGAAGACCAACCUAGCAAAUGCUAAAUAAUGCAAAUUGCUAAGUCGAUCUUCUCUUGAGAGCAGCCACGCGCAUACCUAGCAAAUGUAAAACAACAAGCAUUAGUAACAAAUACUCGGCAUGCAAAUUUUGAAUCCCAUGGCCGAAAUGACAAGUGCCCCCCACUGAUUCCUACCAACUGCCUACCUGCCUCAGUCCUAAGCUGUCUGCCUCGGUCCUAAGCUACCUGCAUUCCAUUCGUAACUUCCGCUUUCCUCACCAUCACACAGACACUCACAACUGCCCAACCUGCCACCAGCCCAAACUGCCCACCCUUAAAACUGAAGGAAUUAAAAUUUUGGUAAAGUAUACAUAAUUAAUUUAAUU